UACGGAGGGUGCAAGCGUUAUCCGGAUUUACUGGGUUUAAAGGGUGCGUAGGUGGGCAGGAAAGUCAGUGGUGAAAUCUCCGGGCUUAACCCGGAAACAGCCAUUGAUACUAUUUGUCUUGAAUACUUUGGAGGUAAGCGGAAUAUGUCAUGUAGCGGUGAAAUGCUUAGAUAUGACAUAGAACGCCCAUUGCGAAGGCAGCUCGCUACACUAUUAUUGACGCUGAGGCACGAAAGCGUGGGGAUCAAACAGG
RNAcentral lists this ribosomal RNA (253 nucleotides) under uncultured prokaryote. RNAcentral describes it as "partial 16S ribosomal RNA". It matches the Rfam family "Bacterial small subunit ribosomal RNA", at positions 524 to 776 of the family's 1533-position model. The record is from RNAcentral.